This is a microRNA precursor of Cephalotus follicularis, 101 nucleotides long. Lineage: Eukaryota; Viridiplantae; Streptophyta; Magnoliopsida; Oxalidales; Cephalotaceae. The record is from Rfam.
UGAAGUACGGGAUAUUGGUCCGGUUCAAUGAGAAACCAGUGCUCAUGCAUUUUUUGGGCCCUGCUUUUUUGUUGAGCCGUGCCAAUAUCACGUGCCACUGC